RNAcentral lists this ribosomal RNA (863 nucleotides) under uncultured marine group I thaumarchaeote. Its description in RNAcentral is "SSU rRNA". It matches the Rfam family "Archaeal small subunit ribosomal RNA", at positions 23 to 892 of the family's 1478-position model. Lineage: Archaea; Thermoproteati; Nitrososphaerota. The record is from RNAcentral.
CUGACUGCUAUCGGAUUGAUACUAAGCCAUGCGAGUCUUUGUAGUAAUACAAGGCAUACGGCUCAGUAACACGUAGUCAACCUACCCUAUGGACGAGAAUAAUCUCGGGAAACUGAGCAUAAUUCUUGAUAGAUCAUAAUGCCUGGAAUGGUUUAUGGUUAAAAUGAUUCGUCGCCAUAGGAUGGGACUGCGGCCUAUCAGCUUGUUGGUGAGGUAAUGGCCCACCAAGGCGAUUACAGGUACGGGCUCUGAGAGGAGAAGCCCGGAGAUGGGUACUGAGACACGGACCCAGGCCCUAUGGGGCGCAGCAGGCGAGAAAACUUUGCAAUGUGCGAAAGCACGACAAGGUUAAUCCGAGUGGUUUCUGCUAAAGGAACCUUUUGUUAGUCCUAAAAACACUAACGAAUAAGGGGUGGGCAAGUUCUGGUGUCAGCCGCCGCGGUAAAACCAGCACCUCAAGUGGUCAGGAUGAUUAUUGGGCCUAAAGCAUCCGUAGCCUGCUCUGUAAGUUUUCGGUUAAAUCUGUAUGCUCAACAUACAGGCCGCCGGGAAUACUGCAGAGCUAGGGAGUGGGAGAGGUAGACGGUACUCGGGAGGAAGUGGUAAAAUGCUUUGAUCUCUCGAUGACCACCUGUGGCGAAGGCGGUCUACCAGAACACGUCCGACGGUGAGGGAUGAAAGCUGGGGGAGCAAACCGGAUUAGAUACCCGGGUAGUCCCAGCUGUAAACGAUGCAAGAUAGGUGAUGGAUUAGCCAUGUGUUAAUCCAGUGCCGCAGGGAAGCCGUUAAGCUUGCCGCCUGGGGAGUACGGUCGCAAGGCUGAAACUUAAAGGAAUUGGCGGGGGAGCACCACAAGGGGUGAA